GUAGGUGAACCUGCGGAAGGAUCAUUACACGUAUUACGGGGGGCCGGAUCCAAAGUGCGCGUACUCCGCGUGCCUUGACCGGUCCUGUCUGAAUAUUCUACCCAUGUCUUUUGCGUACUAUUUGUUUCCUCGGCAGGCUUGCCUGCCGAUAGGACACCAUAAAACCUUUUGUAAUUGCAGUCAGCGUCAGAAAUAACUUAAUAGUUACAACUUUCAACAACGGAUCUCUUGGUUCUG
This 237-nucleotide unclassified non-coding RNA is filed under the name rhizosphere metagenome. RNAcentral describes it as "partial ribosomal RNA internal transcribed spacer region". The record is from RNAcentral.